This 84-nucleotide transfer RNA is filed under the name Coemansia sp. IMI 203386. RNAcentral's name for it is "tRNA-Leu". It matches the Rfam family "tRNA". From Rfam's summary of the family: Transfer RNA (tRNA) molecules are approximately 80 nucleotides in length. RNAcentral also lists the same sequence under 3 other names. Lineage: Eukaryota; Fungi; Kickxellomycota; Kickxellomycetes; Kickxellales; Kickxellaceae. The record is from RNAcentral.
GAGGCUGUGUCCGAGAGGUCUAAGGAGAUUGACUCAAGUUCAAUUGGGCAUUAGUCCGCGUGGGUUCGAACCCCACCGGCCUCA